UGAGUAGAAGCCAAAAUAGUGUGGCGUUUAAUUGUUAAUUAAGUUUUUGUAGUGUCUUAUUACCUACUUAG
Molecule: transfer RNA, 71 nt
Filed under: Puncturella cf. parvinobilis
Lineage: Eukaryota; Metazoa; Mollusca; Gastropoda; Lepetellida; Fissurellidae
Description: tRNA-Asn
Source: RNAcentral